This 257-nucleotide ribosomal RNA is filed under the name uncultured bacterium. RNAcentral describes it as "partial 16S ribosomal RNA". It matches the Rfam family "Bacterial small subunit ribosomal RNA", at positions 524 to 777 of the family's 1533-position model. The record is from RNAcentral.
UACAGAGGUCCCGAGCGUUGUUCGGAUUCAUUGGGCGUAAAGGGCUCGUAGGCGGCCAACUAAGUCAGACGUGAAAUCCCGUCGGCUUAACCGGGGAACUGCGUCUGAUACUGGAUGGCUUGAGUUCGGGAGAGGGAUGUGGAAUUCCAGGUGUAGCGGUGAAAUGCGUAGAUAUCUGGAGGAACACCGGUGGCGAAGGCGGCAUCCUGGACCGACACUGACGCUGAUGGAGCGAAAAGCCAGGGGAGCAAACGGGG